AGACCCGAAACCCGGUGAUCUAGCCAUGGGCAGGUUGAAGGUUGGGUAACACUAACUGGAGGACCGAACCGACUAAUGUUGAAAAAUUAGCGGAUGACCUGUGGCUGGGGGUGAAAGGCCAAUCAAACCGGGAGAUAGCUGGUUCUCCCCGAAAGCUAUUUAGGUAGCGCCUCGUGAAUUCAUCUCCGGGGGUAGAGCACUGUUUCGGCUAGGGGGCCAUCCCGGCUUACCAACCCGAUGCAAACUGCGAAUACCGGAGAAUGUUAUCACGGGAGACACACGGCGGGUGCUAACGUCCGUCGUGAAGAGGGAAACAACCCAGACCGCCAGCUAAGGUCCCAAAGUCAUGGUUAAGUGGGAAACGAUGUGGGAAGGCCCAGACAGCCAGGAUGUUGGCUUAGAAGCAGCCAUCAUUUAAAGAAAGCGUAAUAGCUCACUGGUCGAGUCGGCCUGCGCGGAAGAUGUAACGGGGCUAAACCAUGCACCGAAGCUGCGGCAGCGACACUGUGUGUUGUUGGGUAGGGGAGCGUUCUGUAAGCCUGUGAAGGUGUGUCGUGAGGCAUGCUGGAGGUAUCAGAAGUGCGAAUGCUGACAUAAGUAACGAUAAAGCGGGUGAAAAGCCCGCUCGCCGGAAGACCAAGGGUUCCUGUCCAACGUUAAUCGGGGCAGGGUGAGUCGACCCCUAAGGCGAGGCCGAAAGGCGUAGUCGAUGGGAAACGGGUUAAUAUUCCCGUACUUGGUGUUACUGCGAAGGGGGGACGGAGAAGGCUAUGUUGGCCGGGCGACGGUUGUCCCGGUUUAAGCGUGUAGGUGUGUGUUCCAGGUAAAUCCGGUUCACUUUAACACUGAGGCGUGAUGACGAGGCACUACGGUGCUGAAGCAACAAAUGCCCUGCUUCCAGGAAAAGCCUCUAAGCAUCAGGUAACAUCAAAUCGUACCCCAAACCGACACAGGUGGUCAGGUAGAGAAUACCAAGGCGCUUGAGAGAACUCGGGUGAAGGAACUAGGCAAAAUGGUGCCGUAACUUCGGGAGAAGGCACGCUGACACGUAGGUGAAGUGAUUUACUCAUGGAGCUGAAGUCAGUCGAAGAUACCAGCUGGCUGCAACUGUUUAUUAAAAACACAGCACUGUGCAAACACGAAAGUGGACGUAUACGGUGUGACGCCUGCCCGGUGCCGGAAGGUUAAUUGAUGGGGUCAGCGCAAGCGAAGCUCCUGAUCGAAGCCCCGGUAAACGGCGGCCGUAACUAUAACGGUCCUAAGGUAGCGAAAUUCCUUGUCGGGUAAGUUCCGACCUGCACGAAUGGCGUAAUGAUGGCCAGGCUGUCUCCACCCGAGACUCAGUGAAAUUGAACUCGCUGUGAAGAUGCAGUGUACCCGCGGCAAGACGGAAAGACCCCGUGAACCUUUACUAUAGCUUGACACUGAACAUUGAGCCUUGAUGUGUAGGAUAGGUGGGAG
Molecule: ribosomal RNA, 1461 nt
Filed under: Salmonella enterica subsp. enterica serovar Emek
Lineage: Bacteria; Pseudomonadati; Pseudomonadota; Gammaproteobacteria; Enterobacterales; Enterobacteriaceae
Description: partial 23S ribosomal RNA
Rfam family: Bacterial large subunit ribosomal RNA
Source: RNAcentral